UUGAACUCUCUACUGUAUGCUGUCUGUCUAACUGGAUAGCUCCAGCCAGUUUCACGUUCAGUUGGGACAGAACAGUAAAAAGGCAUAUAAUUCAGCAGACGUCACCAAACGAAGACAUUAACUGCAUGCGUCAUGUCUGAGCCACCAAAUCUUGAAUCCCACAUGCAGCAGAUACAGCGCACUGAAGUAGAUAUUCAUUCAGAGUUUCUUGAAACAAGAUCAUGUUGUUCUAGCUCAUCAAAACAGUCAAGUCGGUCAUCAGCAAGCGUUGCAGCACUUAGAGCACGUGCAAAGGCAGAGGCUGCACAAGCGCAGUUGACCUACGCAGAGCAGGAAGCAGAAGCUAUGAAACAACAAGCAGAUAUCCAGGCACAGCUGCAUGUCCUAAAAAUAAAGAAAAUGGCUGCUGCCGCUUCAGCAGAGGCAAAGAUUUUAGAAGCUGCUGUUCAAGAGGAAGAGAUACAAUCCCUAGCAAGUGAACAUCUUUCAGCCACUUCCAUGGACAAAGAGCAAAAUGUCUUGGACUAUGUUGACAGUCAGCUAUAUUCACGAAAAAGUCAAGUAACAAUGCAGCCUGAAGUCAGAGUUAUACAGUCAGCAUCAUGUAACUCUGAGGGGAAUACGAACAUAGUCCCACAGACAGUUCCACACAGUAUGCCCAUCUUGAAGGAAGAAGAUUCAAGUAUGUAUCAAAGACCAAGUGAGAGACAACUUCCUAGCAAUCACCACUCACAGCCUAUUCCAAGAGCAACAAACACAGGUGAUUCAAGUCAAUACAGACCAGUCAUGUCAUCUACGCCAACCCAUCAUGACACAUCUGCUAUAAGUGAUGUAGCAAAAUAUCUGAUGAGACGAGAAUUAGUGUCAGCUUCUUUACAGAAAUUUGAUGAUAAUCCACAGAACUACCGUGCGUGGAAAUCCUCCUUCUUGAAUGUGACCUUAGACUUAUCUUUGUCACCUAGAGAGGAACUUGAUCUUCUCAUCAAAUGGCUCGGUCCACUUUCAGCAGAGCAAGCAAAGAGAGUCAGCUGCGCACAAGUCCACGAUGUCACAGCAGGCCUUACAAAGGUUUGGCAGCGCCUAGAAGAAACAUACGGAGCUCCUGAGGUGAUUGAAUAUGUCCUUUUUAAGAAAAUUGAGGACUUUCCGAGGAUAUCUGCCAGAGAGAAUAGGAAGCUGAGAGAUUUGGGAGACCUCUUGCUUGAAUUGGAAAUUGUUAAAGAAGAAGGACACUCACCUGGUCUUGCCUUCCUAGAUACGGCACGUGGCGUUAAUCCAAUCGUGGAGAAGUUGCCUUAUUCUCUUCAAGACAAAUGGAUCGCAAGGGCAUCAAAAUUCAAAUCUGAUCACAAUGUCACUUUCCCACCCUUUUAUGUCUUUUCUAAAUUCAUACAAGAGCAAGCACAAAUCAGAAAUGAUCCAAGCUUUACCUUUCUGUCAGUGGGUGCUGAAAAAUUGGAGAGAUCUGUGAGGAACAACCAAAGAACACCAAUAUCAGUGAGAAAGACAGAUGUCUCGAAUGAAUCCAUUCAAUAUGAAGAUCCAGACAAACUAUGUCCCCUCCACAAGAAACCACACCCUCUCAGAAAAUGUCGCAGCUUCCGCAGCAAGCCUCUUGAGGAGAGAAAGGCAUACCUGAAAGAGAAGAAUAUCUGUUUCAGGUGUUGUGCAUCCACCAAACACCUAGCUAGAAACUGUCCUGUUAAAAUCACCUGCAAGGAGUGUGAAAGCGACAAGCACAAUUCAGCAUUACAUCCAGGCCCUGCUCCACACAACACUAGACCACCUUCAGAACAUCAUGGCGGGGAGCCUGAAACAUGGACAGCAUUAACUUCAGCAACAGCAAUGUGCACUGAAGUAUGUGGAUACUCACAAAGCUCCAGGUCAUGUGCCAAGAUCUGCCUGGCUAAGGUGUAUCCAUUAGGACAAAUGGAUAAGGCAGUCAAGUUAUAUGCAGCAUUAGAUGAUCAGAGCAAUCGCUCCUUUGCUCGUUCUGAGUUUUUUGACCUCUUUGGUGUUAAAGGAGCGAUAGAACCUUACACGCUCAAGACAUGCUCAGGCAUCAUGGAAAUGGAAGGAAGGCGAGCCAAAGGCUUCAUCAUAGAGUCCAUUGAUGGUAGUGUGAAGGUCCCUCUUCCUCCAUUGCUUGAAUGUGACAUGAUUCCAGAUGACCGGUCCGAGAUACCCUCUCCUGAGGUGGCACAAAACCAUCCUCAUUUACAGGCCAUUGCACACAAAAUCCCACCCAUUGAUGCUAAAGCACAAAUUCUUCUGCUCUUAGGCAGAGACAUGUUGAGGCUGCACAAAGUUAGAGAGCAACGCAAUGGGCCAC
Molecule: long non-coding RNA, 2332 nt
Filed under: Astyanax mexicanus (Mexican tetra)
Lineage: Eukaryota; Metazoa; Chordata; Actinopteri; Characiformes; Acestrorhamphidae
Description: lncRNA (ENSAMXG00005001949.1)
Source: RNAcentral